UACGUAGGUGGCAAGCGUUGUCCGGAAUUAUUGGGCGUAAAGGGCGCGCAGGCGGCCUGUCAAGUCUGUCUUAAAAGUGCGGGGCUCAACCCCGUGAUGGGACGGAAACUGGCAGGCUGGAGUGUCGGAGAGGAAAGCAGAAUUCCUAGUGUAGCGGUGAAAUGCGUAGAUAUUAGGAGGAAUACCAGUGGCGAAAGCGGCUUUCUGGACGACAACUAACGCUGAGGCGACGAAAGCCGAGGGGAGACGAA
Molecule: ribosomal RNA, 251 nt
Filed under: uncultured microorganism
Description: partial small subunit ribosomal RNA
Rfam family: Bacterial small subunit ribosomal RNA
Source: RNAcentral